Molecule: ribosomal RNA, 253 nt
Filed under: uncultured bacterium
Lineage: Bacteria
Description: partial 16S ribosomal RNA
Rfam family: Bacterial small subunit ribosomal RNA
Source: RNAcentral
UACGUAGGGCGCAAGCGUUGUCCGGAAUUAUUGGGCGUAAAGAGCUCGUAGGCGGUUUGUCGCGUCGGAUGUGAAAGCCCGGGGCUUAACCCCGGGUCUGCAUUCGAUACGGGCAGACUGGAGUGUGGUAGGGGAGAUCGGAAUUCCUGGUGUAGCGGUGAAAUGCGCAGAUAUCGGGAGGAACACCAGUGGCGAAGGCGACUACCUGGCCUGUUCUUGACGCUGAGGCGCGAAAGCUAGGGGAGCAAACGGG